This 253-nucleotide ribosomal RNA is filed under the name uncultured bacterium. Its description in RNAcentral is "partial 16S ribosomal RNA". It matches the Rfam family "Bacterial small subunit ribosomal RNA", at positions 524 to 776 of the family's 1533-position model. The record is from RNAcentral.
UACGUAGGUGUCAAGCGUUGUCCGGAUUUACUGGGCGUACAGAGCGCGCAGGCGGCUGGUCAAGUCCGAUGUGAAAUCUCCCGGCUUAACUGGGAAACUGCAUCGGAAACUGAUCGGCUUGAAGGUGGGAGAGGGUAGUGGAAUUCCCGGUGUAGUGGUGAAAUGCGUAGAUAUCGGGAGGAACACCAGUGGCGAAGGCGACUACCUGGCCCAUUCUUGACGCUGAGGCGCGAAAGCUAGGGGAGCGAACGGG